This 279-nucleotide unclassified non-coding RNA is filed under the name plant metagenome. Its description in RNAcentral is "partial contains small subunit ribosomal RNA, internal transcribed spacer 1, and 5.8S ribosomal RNA". The record is from RNAcentral.
UUUCCGUAGGUGAACCUGCGGAAGGAUCAUUACUGAGUAAGCGAGGUGCUAGGGCUGUCUCUGACCCGAUAGGUCGUGCACCCCCGAGUGCCCUCACACACCUUCACCCCACCCCUAUGUGCACGACCUCGUGGGUCCCCUUUGGCUUGUUCGGUGGGGGGCUCACGCUUUCACACGUUCUAUGAACGCAGUGCAGAAUGUAUUCAUUGUUUAAGCGAUCACCAAAUCAAAACAACCUUCAACAACGGAUCUCUUAGCUCCUGCAACGAUGAAGAACGC